Chelonia mydas (Green sea turtle) is the source of this 1253-nucleotide long non-coding RNA. RefSeq lists it as uncharacterized. NCBI's taxonomy places the organism in Eukaryota, Metazoa, Chordata, Testudines, Cheloniidae. The record is from RefSeq and is a predicted model, not a curated record. The transcript has 3 exons.
CUUUUGCCAACAAGUUCUGCUUCAUUGUAUUAAGGUAGAUGACAGUAUCGGUUGUGGUACAGUUCUUUUAGAAGAUGAACAUAUUACAAGUGAAUUUGUUCAUGCUGUAGAAAAAAUCACUAGAUCAGAAAAGCUACUUCCUAUAGAAUAUAUUCACACAAGCAAUUGAAAACAUUACAUUGUUUCAAAACGUUGUAAAAUGUUAAAGGUGGAGAGUUAUUGUUAAUACAGCCUUGAUGUUCCCUUUUAACAAUCCAACUUCUAUGCCUUUUUUAGUGCUGCCCAUGUGCAUGGAAUGCCAUCCAAAUCCCUGUUCAUUAAACCUUUCCUAGUUCAAAGCCCUCCAGAAAACUCUCUUCUGCUGUGUAUUAUCUAACUAGCACUGAAGGGACUGCACUGGUCGUGGUGAAACAGUGGGAAUUUCCCCAAAAAGUAUAGUUUAGACAAGAUCUAUGAAGAGGUGAUUCAAGACGAGUGCCUGGAGCCUACUCUACUUCAGUAGUUUAACACAGUACUGUACUGCUGCCUGCUUGUGGACUGCCGGUUCCAAAUGAGUAGCUGGAGAAUCAUUGAGGAUCCAUUAGAUCACUGGAGAUCACAAAUAGCUGCUGAGUCCUGUACCUAGAUGGUUGUACAGAGGCACUCCUGGAGAGCUGGAAAAUGUUUGCUGUAACCAAGAUACAAAAGGAAGUGUUCUGUGAUACUUUCAAGCGGAGAAGUUGUACCCAAAUUUUUUUCUGUGACAAGGCAAAUGGAAGAAAGCAAAGCUGUGGUCCCAUGAGACACUAUGAUCUGCAAGUAUGUUUAUAGCGUGGAUGCCAGGGACCUUGAGGAUUUAAGGCUUUUGUACACAAGGUCAAGGCCUGGCUAUAACACAGAUAGAAAGUGAAUACCAUCCAGUUACCCAGCUGUGUAUGCAGGAGGGUAUCCUUCCAGUACCAUGUCUCUCACAGCACACACGGAUGCUCAUAUUUAGAGACAGAUUUUUUUUUUUUGCACUGAAAAUGUGUCUAUCAAAAUCAGUAGUAGACAGACAUGCCAGUUCCUGCAAAGAAUGGACUAUGAUUCACCAUUCAAUAGCUCAUGAUUUAGAAAAGCAUUCACCUUGAAACAGUCAAUAUGUGCACGACUAAUGGAUAUUUAACAGAAUACCUCACUUAUAGAUUAAUUAACUAUACAAACAAUUAACAGUGCUCAUGUCUAAAGACAGAAUAGCCUCUAGAUGGUGUCAAUUAAAACACUAUUGUUCUCUA